UUAAGCGACUAAGCGUACACGGUGGAUGCCCUGGCAGUCAGAGGCGAUGAAGGACGUGCUAAUCUGCGAAAAGCGUCGGUAAGGUGAUAUGAACCGUUAUAACCGGCGAUGUCCGAAUGGGGAAACCCAGUGUGAUUCGUCACACUAUCGUUAACUGAAUACAUAGGUUAACGAGGCGAACCGGGGGAACUGAAACAUCUAAGUACCCCGAGGAAAAGAAAUCAACCGAGAUUCCCCCAGUAGCGGCGAGCGAACGGGGAGCAGCCCAGAGUCUGAAUCAGCUUGUGUGUUAGUGGAACGGUCUGGAAAGUCCGACGGUACAGGGUGAUAGUCCCGUACACCAAAAUGCACANGCUGUGAACUCGAAGAGUAGGGCGGGACACGUGGUAUCCUGUCUGAAUAUGGGGGGACCAUCCUCCAAGGCUAAAUACUCCUGACUGACCGAUAGUGAACCAGUACCGUGAGGGAAAGGCGAAAAGAACCCCGGCGAGGGGAGUGAAAAAGAACCUGAAACCGUGUACGUACAAGCAGUGGGAGCACCUUCGGGUGUGACUGCGUACCUUUUGUAUAAUGGGUCAGCGACUUAUAUUCUGUAGCAAGGUUAACCGUAUAGGGGAGCCGCAGGGAAACCGAGUCUUAACUGGGCGUUAAGUUGCAGGGUAUAGACCCGAAACCCGGUGAUCUAGCCAUGGGCAGGUUGAAGGUUGGGUAACACUAACUGGAGGACCGAACCGACUAAUGUUGAAAAAUUAGCGGAUGACUUGUGGCUGGGGGUGAAAGGCCAAUCAAACCGGGAGAUAGCUGGUUCUCCCCGAAAGCUAUUUAGGUAGCGCCUCGUGAANUCAUCUUCGGGGGUAGAGCACUGUUUCGGCUAGGGGGUCAUCCCGACUUACCAACCCGAUGCAAACUACGAAUACCGAAGAAUGUUAUCACGGGAGACACACGGCGGGUGCUAACGUCCGUCGUGAAGAGGGAAACAACCCAGACCGCCAGCUAAGGUCCCAAAGUCAUGGUUAAGUGGGAAACGAUGUGGGAAGGCACAGACAGCCAGGAUGUUGGCUUAGAAGCAGCCAUCAUUUAAAGAAAGCGUAAUAGCUCACUGGUCGAGUCGGCCUGCGCGGAAGAUGUAACGGGGCUAAACCAUGCACCGAAGCUGCGGCAGCGACACUAUGUGUUGUUGGGUAGGGGAGCGUUCUGUAAGCCUGCGAAGGUGACCUGUGAGGGUUGCUGGAGGUAUCAGAAGUGCGAAUGCUGACAUAAGUAACGAUAAAGCGGGUGAAAAGCCCGCUCGCCGGAAGACCAAGGGUUCCUGUCCAACGUUAAUCGGGGCAGGGUGAGUCGACCCCUAAGGCGAGGCCGAAAGGCGUAGUCGAUGGGAAACAGGUUAAUAUUCCUGUACUUGGUGUUACUGCGAAGGGGGGACGGAGAAGGCUAUGUUAGCCGGGCGACGGUUGUCCCGGUUUAAGCAUGUAGGCUGGUUGUCCAGGCAAAUCCGGAUAAUCAAGGCUGAGGUGUGAUGACGAGGCACUACGGUGCUGAAGUAACAAAUGCCCUGCUUCCAGGAAAAGCCUCUAAGCAUCAGGUAACAUNAAAUCGUACCCCAAACCGACACAGGUGGUCAGGUAGAGAAUACCAAGGCGCUUGAGAGAACUCGGGUGAAGGAACUAGGCAAAAUGGUGCCGUAACUUCGGGAGAAGGCACGCUGGUGUGUAGGUGAAGUCCCUGCGGAUGGAGCUGAGACCAGUCGAAGAUACCAGCUGGCUGCAACUGUUUAUUAAAAACACAGCACUGUGCAAACACGAAAGUGGACGUAUACGGUGUGACGCCUGCCCGGUGCCGGAAGGUUAAUUGAUGGGGUUAUCCGUAAGGAGAAGCUCUUGAUCGAAGCCCCGGUAAACGGCGGCCGUAACUAUAACGGUCCUAAGGUAGCGAAAUUCCUUGUCGGGUAAGUUCCGACCUGCACGAAUGGCGUAAUGAUGGCCAGGCUGUCUCCACCCGAGACUCAGUGAAAUUGAACUCGCUGUGAAGAUGCAGUGUACCCGCGGCAAGACGGAAAGACCCCGUGAACCUUUACUAUAGCUUGACACUGAACAUUGAGCCUUGAUGUGUAGGAUAGGUGGGAGGCUUUGAAGCGUGGACGCCAGUCUGCGUGGAGCCAACCUUGAAAUACCACCCUUUAAUGUUUGAUGUUCUAACGUUGGCCCCUUACCGGGGUUGCGGACAGUGUCUGGUGGGUAGUUUGACUGGGGCGGUCUCCUCCCAAAGCGUAACGGAGGAGCACGAAGGUUAGCUAAUCCUGGUCGGACAUCAGGAGGUUAGUGCAAUGGCAUAAGCUAGCUUGACUGCGAGCGUGACGGCGCGAGCAGGUGCGAAAGCAGGUCAUAGUGAUCCGGUGGUUCUGAAUGGAAGGGCCAUCGCUCAACGGAUAAAAGGUACUCCGGGGAUAACAGGCUGAUACCGCCCAAGAGUUCAUAUCGACGGCGGUGUUUGGCACCUCGAUGUCGGCUCAUCACAUCCUGGGGCUGAAGUAGGUCCCAAGGGUAUGGCUGUUCGCCAUUUAAAGUGGUACGCGAGCUGGGUUUAGAACGUCGUGAGACAGUUCGGUCCCUAUCUGCCGUGGGCGCUGGAGAAUUGAGGGGGGCUGCUCCUAGUACGAGAGGACCGGAGUGGACGCAUCACUGGUGUUCGGGUUGUCAUGCCAAUGGCACUGCCCGGUAGCUAAAUGCGGAAGAGAUAAGUGCUGAAAGCAUCUAAGCACGAAACUUGCCCCGAGAUGAGUUCUCCCUGAGACUUUAAGUCUCCUGAAGGAACGUUGAAGACGACGACGUUGAUAGGCCGGGUGUGUAAGCGCAGCGAUGCGUUGAGCUAACCGGUACUAAUGAACCGUGAGGCUUAACCUU
This 2900-nucleotide ribosomal RNA is filed under the name Klebsiella pneumoniae. RNAcentral's name for it is "23S ribosomal RNA". It matches the Rfam family "Bacterial large subunit ribosomal RNA". Lineage: Bacteria; Pseudomonadati; Pseudomonadota; Gammaproteobacteria; Enterobacterales; Enterobacteriaceae. The record is from RNAcentral.